GAUGAACGCUGGCGGCGUGCCUAAUACAUGCAAGUCGAGCGAACAGACGAGGAGCUUGCUCCUCUGACGUUAGCGGCGGACGGGUGAGUAACACGUGGAUAACCUACCUCUAAGACUGGGAUAACUUCGGGAAACCGGAGCUAAUACCGGAUAAUAUAUUGAACCGCAUGGAUCAAUAGUGAAAGACGGCUUUGCUGUCACUUAUAGAUGGAUCCGCGCCGCAUUAGCUAGUUGGUAAGGUAACGGCUUACCAAGGCGACGAUGCGUAGCCGACCUGAGAGGGUGAUCGGCCACACUGGAACUGAGACACGGUCCAGACUCCUACGGGAGGCAGCAGUAGGGAAUCUUCCGCAAUGGGCGAAAGCCUGACGGAGCAACGCCGCGUGAGUGAUGAAGGUCUUCGGAUCGUAAAACUCUGUUAUUAGGGAAGAACAAAUGUGUAAGUAACUAUGCACGUCUUGACGGUACCUAAUCAGAAAGCCACGGCUAACUACGUG
RNAcentral lists this ribosomal RNA (497 nucleotides) under uncultured bacterium. RNAcentral describes it as "partial 16S ribosomal RNA". It matches the Rfam family "Bacterial small subunit ribosomal RNA", at positions 28 to 507 of the family's 1533-position model. The record is from RNAcentral.